RNAcentral lists this long non-coding RNA (1047 nucleotides) under Canis lupus dingo (dingo). Its description in RNAcentral is "lncRNA (ENSCAFG00020018815.1)". Lineage: Eukaryota; Metazoa; Chordata; Mammalia; Carnivora; Canidae. The record is from RNAcentral.
AUGGAUGAUGGGAGAAUCCACAGGAGGGAAAAGGAGAGGGAACGUGGCUGGGAGGGGGCAACAGCCCCUUCCUUUCUGGGCACAGGAAGGCAGCCAGGGCACCAGGUCCAGGGAGUGACCUCACAAGGACAGCACAGUUUUUGCAGCUUAGAGAUCACCCACCUGCCCCCACCCAGCUACUCAUUCUGCUCGCCGGCAGGUGUAGGGCCACUCUCCGGCCCCGAGGGAGUGGACGGCUCUGCAGCCUGGGGCCCUGCCUCUUCCUCUGUGUCUCCUCCCUUGGAGGCAGCACUAGCCUCUGCCCCCUUGGCCUGGGGCUCCUGGCUCUCAGGGGUGGCGGCAGCCUUCCCUUCCUGGGCUGUGCCUUCCUCGCCGCAGGCACCGAUCUCGCCCUGCUCCUGCUCUUCCUCUGUGGGUGAGGAGGCAGAGGAAUCACCCCCACCCUCCUUCCGAUUUCUCUUGAAGGACAGACCACUCAAUUUGAAAGGCUUCUUGAAAGAGAAUUUCUUCUUCUUCUUGGGGGUCUCCUUGGCGGGGGCAUCCCCCUUGACCUCAGCGCCCUGGCUAGGGGGUGCUGGCUCGAUGCCAUCGCCAGUGGCCCCGGCUGCCUCCUCUGUUCCGUUCACGGGGGGCGACUCCCCUUCACCCUUGGGGGAUAAGUCUCCAUUGCUUUUCACGUGGCCAUUCUCCUGUCCGUUGGCCUUAGCAGGGGAAGCGCCUGCUGCCUCCUCGGCGGUCACGUCGCCCCGGGGAGCCUUGGAGCUCUGGCUGCCCAUGAUGGGGGGGGGGGGGUCUGCUGGGGGGCGCCCGGGGCGGCCCCGGGCUCGCGCCGCAGGGGAUAGUUCGGCCGGGUCGGCCUGGCCGGCGGAGGGGUGGGGCUCGCGCCUGAGGGGGAGGGGUAUGGGGGGAACCGAGCUGCACCCCCUCUCGGCACCCGACCCGCUAGCUACGCCCGCCACCGCUCGGCUCCGCGCCAGAAUGCCCCACAGUCAUGUUUCUAUCCUGUUAAGAAAAUACAAACACAACAAUGAGAGCUCUCUGAACUAA